GACGAACGCUGGCGGCGCGCCUAACACAUGCAAGUCGAACGAGCGAGCGAGAGCUUGCUUUCUCGCGCGAGUGGCGAACGGGUGAGUAACGCGUGAGGAACCUGCCUCAAAGUGGGGGACAACAGUUGGAAACGACUGCUAAUACCGCAUAAGCGCACGGUGCCGCAUGGCACAGAGGGAAAAGGAGCACUCCGCUUUGAGAUGGCCUCGCGUCCGAUUAGCUAGUUGGUGAGGUAAUGGCCCACCAAUGCGACGAUCGGUAGCCGGACUGAGAGGUUGAACGGCCGCAAUUGGACUGAGACACAGCCCAGAAUCCUACGGGAGGCAGCAGUGGGGAAUAUCGCACAAGGGGGGAAACCCUGAUGAAGCGACGCGGCGGGGAGGAAGAAGGGCGUCGGAUUGUAAUUUCCUGUUGUAGGGGAGGAUAAUGACGGUACCCAACAAGGAAGUGACGGCUAACUACGUG
This 466-nucleotide ribosomal RNA is filed under the name uncultured bacterium. RNAcentral describes it as "partial 16S ribosomal RNA". It matches the Rfam family "Bacterial small subunit ribosomal RNA", at positions 28 to 507 of the family's 1533-position model. The record is from RNAcentral.